Small nucleolar RNA from Sciurus vulgaris (Eurasian red squirrel), 123 nucleotides. The record is from Ensembl. Lineage: Eukaryota; Metazoa; Chordata; Mammalia; Rodentia; Sciuridae.
CUGCAUCUGAUAGACCUUUGAACAAUUUGCUGUUGUUCUUUUGGUUUGCACUAGGAUGCAAAAGAAAAUAAUUGUGUGCUUUCUGUCUUUGCAGCAGUCCACAUUGAGUUGGGGAAUACAUCU